This 198-nucleotide non-coding RNA is filed under the name Rhodopseudomonas palustris. Lineage: Bacteria; Pseudomonadati; Pseudomonadota; Alphaproteobacteria; Hyphomicrobiales; Nitrobacteraceae. The record is from RNAcentral. RNAcentral also lists the same sequence under 1 other name.
UUAAAGCGCUGCGUCACCGGUGCCUCUCGCAAGAGGGGUGAAACGGGAAUGCGGUGCGGGACGAUGUCCCCAAGCCGCAGCUGCCCUCGCAACUGUAAGCGGAUCACGACGUCCUUGAUGCCACUGGCCGAUCGGCCGGGAAGGCGGACGAGCGAUACAUCCGCGAGCCAGGAGACCGGCCGGUGACGUUGAGCCAAC